RNAcentral lists this ribosomal RNA (465 nucleotides) under Vreelandella stevensii. Its description in RNAcentral is "partial 16S ribosomal RNA". It matches the Rfam family "Bacterial small subunit ribosomal RNA", at positions 338 to 795 of the family's 1533-position model. The record is from RNAcentral. Lineage: Bacteria; Pseudomonadati; Pseudomonadota; Gammaproteobacteria; Oceanospirillales; Halomonadaceae.
CCUACGGGAGGCUGCAGUGGGGAAUAUUGGACAAUGGGCGAAAGCCUGAUCCAGCCAUGCCGCGUGUGUGAAGAAGGCCUUCGGGUUGUAAAGCACUUUCAGUGGGGAAGAAAGCCUUGGGGCUAAUACCCUCGAGGAAGGACAUCACCCACAGAAGAAGCACCGGCUAACUCCGUGCCAGCAGCCGCGGUAAUACGGAGGGUGCGAGCGUUAAUCGGAAUUACUGGGCGUAAAGCGCGCGUAGGCGGUCUGAUAAGCCGGUUGUGAAAGCCCCGGGCUCAACCUGGGAACGGCAUCCGGAACUGUCAGGCUAGAGUGCAGGAGAGGAGGGUAGAAUUCCCGGUGUAGCGGUGAAAUGCGUAGAGAUCGGGAGGAAUACCAGUGGCGAAGGCGGCCUUCUGGACUGACACUGACGCUGAGGUGCGAAAGCGUGGGUAGCAAACAGGAUUAGAUACCCGUGUAGUC